CUGCCCAGUGACCCUAAUUAAACGGCCGCGGUAUCCUAACCGUGCAAAGGUAGCAUAAUCACUUGCCCAUUAAUUGUGGGCUAGAAUGAACGGAACAACGAAAUAUAAGCUGUCUCUGCUAUAUCUACAUAAAUUAACCUUUAACUGAAGACUGUUAAAUAAAAUCGAAGGACAAGAAGACCCUAUAGAGCUUAAUUUUAAAACGGACAGUCCCUCAUAAAAUUUGGUUGGGGCGACCUAGGAAUAAUAAUCAUCCUUUUCAAAAAAAGAUUAUAAAUCAAUAAAAUGACCCUAAAAAGAUCAACAGUAUAAGCUACCUUAGGGAUAACAGGCUAAUCUUAUUUAAGAGUCCAUAUCUAAAAUAAGGGUUGGCACCUCGAUGUUGGCUUAGGAUAUCUAUGAAGCGCAAAAGUUCCAUAAAGAUGGUUUGUUCAACCAAUAAUUUCCU
Molecule: ribosomal RNA, 448 nt
Filed under: Nematogenia sp. 341
Lineage: Eukaryota; Metazoa; Annelida; Clitellata; Crassiclitellata; Ocnerodrilidae
Description: partial 16S ribosomal RNA
Rfam family: Bacterial large subunit ribosomal RNA
Source: RNAcentral